Haplochromis burtoni (Burton's mouthbrooder) is the source of this 1530-nucleotide RNA transcript. It is a transcript of the gene named kielin/chordin-like protein, with no coding region annotated. The transcript has 7 exons. Lineage: Eukaryota; Metazoa; Chordata; Actinopteri; Cichliformes; Cichlidae. The record is from RefSeq and is a predicted model, not a curated record.
CAUUUUGUCACUGCAGACUUUUUGUUUUUUAAAUCAUUUUAGGUUCAUCAUAUUCUCACACAGCCAGUGUUAACACAGUCUGUUUGUGUGUUUUACUGCCAGGAUGAGAUGCCUGCAGUUAUCCCAGGUUUGUGUUGUCCUCAUUGCCUUCCUCGUCCAGCUACUUGCAGUGCCUUUGGCGAUCCUCAUUACCGGACCUUCGAUGGCCGCAUGCUGCACUUCCAGGGAACGUGCACAUAUGUCCUGACACAGGAUUGUGAGAGUGGAGAUUUCAGUGUUCAUGCUACAAAUGAUGAUCGUGGACGUAAAGGAGUGUCCUGGACUAAAGAGGUUACUGUGUUUUUGGGUGAUGUCACAGUGCAGCUACUGCAGGACUGGAUUGUGAAGGUGAAUGAUGAGGCUGUAACUUUGCCAUUUCUCAGGGAACCAUACAUCUAUAUCGAACGGCAAACCAACACAAUUUUACUCAACACUAACAUUGGUCUGAAGGUGCUGUGGAGUCCUCGUUCACAUGUAGAAGUAAGUGUGCCAGGCUCCUAUAAGGGCCACACCUGUGGACUUUGUGGAAACUUCAACAACUACUACCAGGAUGACCUCCGGAUGCCAAAUGGACGAAUCACCCUAUCUGAGUCUGAAUUUGGAAACAGCUGGAGGGUCACAAAUGGUACCCAUUUCCGCUCCUCCUGUCGUCCUGGCGAGAAUGUUGACCCUUGUAAGGAUGCAGGCUACCAGGCCAAGAAGGGGGCCAACACUCGCUGUAAAAUCCUGAAGUCUGCCAUCUUUAAGCCCUGUCAUCCCGUGGUGCCUCCUGAACAGUGGUACGGAGCUUGUGUUUACGACCUCUGUGCUUGCGGUGCAAAUACUGAUGACUGUCUUUGUGACACGUUGGAGGCCUACGCGAGCCAGUGCAGAGCAGCAGGAGUCAUCGUGCAGUGGAGGAGCGCGUCUCUGUGUGCUGUGGGCUGCCCAGUGGAGAGGGGCUUUGUGUUUGAUGAGUGCGGCCCCCCUUGUCCUGUAACCUGCUUUAAUGUCGAUGUACCUCUGGGAGUGAUAGAAAGCCACUGUUUCAAGCCCUGUGUUCCAGGAUGUCAGUGUCCUGCUGGUCUGGUCCUACACAACAACUACUGCAUACCACAAGAGAAGUGUCCAAAGAUCAUUCAUGGCAGCUCCUCAAAUGCCACAGUUACUCAAUAAGUGGACACUCACUUAUAAUUUCACACACAUGCACUGUCACUGCAUCAGCCCCAUGUUACUGUAUACAAUGGAAACAUUUCCAGAUGAACCUCCAUGACCUGUGGACUCCACAUACUGUGUUUGUUGGUUUUUAUAAAUAUUGUAACACUGAAUAUUUAAUUCCAUACCUAGUUUGUUUCACACAUUUACUUUAACAGUAUUAGCAAUUAUUUAAAGUUGUUUAUUAUGCAGGUUACAUUUUUAGCACUGUGCAAUGUCUGACUGUUCAUACAGGAAGCCAUAUAAUCUCAGGUAAUCUUUUCCUUCUCCAUUUUAUAAAUAAAAGUUUCACUAAUA